ACGAUUGAAGCCAGUCGUACCUUCGGGUAAUCAGCCUUUCGGGUGCGAUUCUGUGGAGUUUGAGGAGCUUAACACCUUCAUGCUUUGCAUAUUCGUGCUCUUGGGUGUACUUGCUCGUAUGGUUGGUUAACAUCAAUUUUGGUGGUCAUAAAAUGACGGGAGGAAUGUAGCUUCGAUCUCGUAUGGAAGUGUUAUAGCCUUCGGUAGAUGUGAUGACUGAGAUUGAGGAUUGCAACGGAUACCCUUCGGGGCUACCUGUCUGAUCUCUGUUCGUUGCUCGGGUGCCGAAAGCUUGCUUACGGUUGUCAAAGUCGGAUGGUCAAUAGGUUAGAAUGGGUUAAAUUCGUUAAGGAUGUGGACGUA
This 363-nucleotide ribosomal RNA is filed under the name uncultured fungus. RNAcentral describes it as "LSU rRNA". Lineage: Eukaryota; Fungi. The record is from RNAcentral.